Molecule: ribosomal RNA, 253 nt
Filed under: uncultured bacterium
Lineage: Bacteria
Description: partial 16S ribosomal RNA
Rfam family: Bacterial small subunit ribosomal RNA
Source: RNAcentral
UACGAAGGGGGCUAGCGUUGUUCGGAAUUACUGGGCGUAAAGCGUGCGCAGGCGGUUCGCUGUGUCCUGUGUGAAAGCCCCGGGCUUAACCUGGGAAUGGCAUGGGAAACUGGCGGGCUGGAGUGUGGCAGAGGGGGGUGGAAUUCCGCGUGUAGCAGUGAAAUGCGUAGAGAUGCGGAGGAACACCGAUGGCGAAGGCAGCCCCCUGGGCUAACACUGACGCUCAGGCACGAAAGCGUGGGGAGCAAACAGG